UCAACGGGGUGCCUGCGAAAGGCUGAGAAAAACCCGUCGAACCUGAUUCGGUUAAUACCGACGUAGGGAUUUG
This 73-nucleotide non-coding RNA is filed under the name Pantoea septica. Its description in RNAcentral is "TPP riboswitch (THI element)". It matches the Rfam family "TPP riboswitch aptamer (THI element)", at positions 9 to 90 of the family's 105-position model. From Rfam's summary of the family: Vitamin B(1) in its active form thiamin pyrophosphate (TPP) is an essential coenzyme that is synthesised by coupling of pyrimidine and thiazole moieties in bacteria. The previously detected thiamin-regulatory element, thi box was extended, resulting in a new, highly conserved RNA secondary structure, the THI element, which is widely distributed in eubacteria and also occurs in some archaea. Lineage: Bacteria; Pseudomonadati; Pseudomonadota; Gammaproteobacteria; Enterobacterales; Erwiniaceae. The record is from RNAcentral.